RNAcentral lists this ribosomal RNA (492 nucleotides) under uncultured bacterium. RNAcentral's name for it is "partial 16S ribosomal RNA". It matches the Rfam family "Bacterial small subunit ribosomal RNA", at positions 29 to 507 of the family's 1533-position model. The record is from RNAcentral.
AGUGAACGCUGGCGGUAGGCCUAACACAUGCAAGUCGAACGGCAGCACAGUAAGAGCUUGCUCUUACGGGUGGCGAGUGGCGGACGGGUGAGGAAUACAUCGGAAUCUACUUUUUCGUGGGGGAUAACGUAGGGAAACUUACGCUAAUACCGCAUACGACCUACGGGUGAAAGCAGGGGAUCUUCGGACCUUGCGCGAUUGAAUGAGCCGAUGUCGGAUUAGCUAGUUGGCGGGGUAAAGGCCCACCAAGGCGACGAUCCGUAGCUGGUCUGAGAGGAUGAACAGCCACACUGUAGCGUAGACACAGUCGCGACCCCUAGGGGAGGCAGCAGGGGGGACUCUUGGGGAAUGGGGGCGAGCGUGAUCUAGCACUACCGGGGAGGUGAAGAAGGCCUUCGGGUUCUAAAGCGCUUUUGUUGGGAGGGAAAAGAAGCAGGUUUAUACGCCGCGGUACUGACGGUACCGAAAGAAUAAGCACCGGCUAACUUCGUG